This 84-nucleotide small nucleolar RNA is filed under the name Pelusios castaneus (West African mud turtle). RNAcentral describes it as "Small nucleolar RNA U3 (ENSPCEG00000017184.1)". It matches the Rfam family "Small nucleolar RNA U3", at positions 1 to 85 of the family's 219-position model. From Rfam's summary of the family: Small nucleolar RNAs (snoRNAs) are involved in the processing and modification of rRNA in the nucleolus. There are two main classes of snoRNAs: the box C/D class, and the box H/ACA class. U3 snoRNA is a member of the box C/D class. The record is from Rfam by way of RNAcentral. Lineage: Eukaryota; Metazoa; Chordata; Testudines; Pelomedusidae.
AAGACUAUACUUUCAGGGAUCAUUUCUAUAGUUUGUAACUAGAGAAGUGCAGCCGAAAGUGAUUGGUCUCGCUAACCACGAGGA